Molecule: ribosomal RNA, 338 nt
Filed under: uncultured Proteiniphilum sp.
Lineage: Bacteria; Pseudomonadati; Bacteroidota; Bacteroidia; Bacteroidales; Dysgonomonadaceae
Description: bacterial SSU rRNA
Rfam family: Bacterial small subunit ribosomal RNA
Source: RNAcentral
UGGUUGGUCGUCAGCUCGUGCCGUGAGGUGUCGGCUUAAGUGCCAUAACGAGCGCAACCCUCAUCAUUAGUUACCAUCAGGUAAGGCUGGGGACUCUAAUGAGACUGCCAUCGUAAGAUGUGAGGAAGGUGGGGAUGACGUCAAAUCAGCACGGCCCUUACGUCCGGGGCGACACACGUGUUACAAUGGGUGGUACAAAGGGCAGCUACCUGGCGACAGGAUGCUAAUCUCCAAAACCACUCUCAGUUCGGAUCGGAGUCUGCAACUCGACUCCGUGAAGCUGGAUUCGCUAGUAAUCGCGCAUCAGCCACGGCGCGGUGAAUACGUUCCCGGGCCUU